UUAGCAUAAGUUCUACAGCAAAAAUAUCCAUCAUAAAUUCCACCUCCAGAAACAAAAAUGAGAAAAUGACGGUUCAAAUUAGGUUGCUGCACAAGAUACAAUUUUCUCCAUGAUAAGAUGCUUCCAGUUAUCUAGAGUUGGCUUCAUAUGGUAUGUUAGUUUAUGACUGGCUCCUACCAUGAAAACACUGACAAAAAUUACCAAAUACCAAUGUAUCUUCCUCAAGUUCGAUUGUUUAUAGUUAGUAGAGCCGAAUCUGCUAGUUUUCAUUGAUCUGGUAAUCUAACAUAUGACUAAGAAAAAUUCCCAACUUUCGGUCAAGAUCCAUACAAUUAACAUACCAAAUGUCAAUCAUUGAAACUUUGGGUCAAAACCCAGAGUUAACAUAAUAA
This 392-nucleotide long non-coding RNA is filed under the name Hordeum vulgare. RNAcentral's name for it is "long non-coding RNA (HVUL_LNC010710)". Lineage: Eukaryota; Viridiplantae; Streptophyta; Magnoliopsida; Poales; Poaceae. The record is from RNAcentral.